This is a long non-coding RNA of Carassius gibelio (silver crucian carp), 2713 nucleotides long. RefSeq lists it as uncharacterized. The record is from RefSeq and is a predicted model, not a curated record. Lineage: Eukaryota; Metazoa; Chordata; Actinopteri; Cypriniformes; Cyprinidae. The transcript is spliced from 2 exons.
CCAAAAUCUUAGAGACUAUGGAAAUCCAGUUCUUCCAAAUAUAGUAGCAGGUUUUGCGUGGUUAUUCCAUGCAGAAGACAGUUCCAGAGAUAGUAUUUUCAAAAAUGCAUGAAUCCAGUGCUUAGCAGAAAGGUCAUGAGGGGGUCUCCAGCACUGAACUAGUCAUUUAUUUGCCGCAGUCAAAGCUGCUAGCCAAAAUUAUUGUUCUUUUUCACUUACAGAAAAUUGAGAAUUAUCAUUAAAUAACAGGAUCUUUAGGAAAAUUAAUCUUGAUAACCUUGUAUAAAACAUCUGAUAACCACGCUCUAGCUUUAGGGAAAUUACGGUAUCUGUAUUAAGAUUUGAAAAGCAAAGAUAAUAAAUUGGCGUAUUUUGAAUCCAUUGCACUACUGGGUGAAUUUGAAUAUUAUUAACCCAAGGAACCUUUUGAAGUUUUAAUGUAGAACAAUGUUGGAAAAAUAGAAACAAAGUGUUACAGGAAAUGUUAAAUCUUGAAAAUCUAAAAUAGAUUUCUCCAUAUCAUUCAAUGUUAGAAUAUCUUUUGUAGCCCAGUUGGCUGUACAAAUGGUUGUCCACCAGAAAGCAGAUUCAGAUUGUGCCGUAGUAUUGGUGUGUCACAUAGUUUUAGAUGGAAAAGGGGGUUCAGUCUUUUUAAAUAUUUAGAGUGUGUAAGAAAAGUAUAGGUCCAUAGUGUAAUGAUUCAUACAUGUAAGGCCAGAAAAUUAAAAAUCUUGAAAUUGAACUGGUGAAAUAAGCUCUUGCUAUAUUACUUUCCACGAGGACUGUGAACAAGGAGCAAACUAUUUUUUUAACCAGGGGCAGAAUAAAGGACUUAUAUAAUUUAAAAUUUGAACAACCCCAUCUGCCUUUCAUUUGAAUUCUUUGAAGUGUAGAACACUUAAUGCGGGGACAUUUUCCAUUCCAAAUAUAUUUUAUUAGGCUAGUAAAUAAUCUAGUUUUUGCCAAUAGUUUGUAGGUGGGGGGAGAGGAAGCAUGGAACUAAUAAAAUUGAUGCAAAAUUAUAUUACUGACAUUCGGGCAUAAGGUGAUGAACAUCCAUCAUUGAAUAUCAGACUAAUUUUUGGCUUGAUGGACAACCCUGCUCUGUACCUCUAUGACUAUUAAACCUAUCUGAGAAUUUUUGUCAAAAUAUGUUUGAUGAUUUAACUGAAUUUAUAUAUUAAAAUAACUUAAAAUAAACAUAAAAAUACAGUAGUUAUGGACUAUGGGAACUAUAUUUGAAACAAAACAAAAUUGCAAUAUGCAUUUCUACUCAAAAGUGUCCACAUACAGCUGAGUUGUUAAAACAAUAAAAAUGUAAAUUUUAAAUGAAAACUACAUAGCCUAAGAUGUUAAAGUAACCGAAAUUAGUAACAUUAAGGGAUGAAAAGUAUUUAGGUACAGCUGUUUCAUAUGCCUCAAAUACUGAAGAAAACCAUAAAAAGUAUUAAGCAAUUCACGUAAAAUGCCACCAAAUUCUUCAUUCUUCAAACUGGCAUGACCUUUAUGGGACAUUAACACAUCAUUUAAGGGUAACUGCACCCUAAAAUGAAAAUGUUGUCAUUAAUCAUUAAUCAUUUCAGAAUACUCCUUCUGCCAUCAGUGGUUCAACCGUAACAUUAUAAAGCGAGGAGAACACUCUUUGUACACAACGAAAACUAAAAUAACAACUUUAUUCAACAAGCCGUGUCCUCUGUGUUACUCCACAUCACCGUGGCACCAUUUUGGAGAAUAUGAGCUGAAUGCAGCUUGUCACUUCAUACAUUUUUUUACGGGUUUGGAACAACAUGGGGUUACGGGAUUAAUGACAAUUUUCAUUUUGGGGUGUAGUAUCCCUUUAGGUUAGACCCUUCCUUUUAACAAAAGAAUAAAAACAACAGAAAAUAUUAAUAAUUGAAUCCCACAAACCUUGCACCUGUUUAUAGCGUACAUUAUUAAUCUGUCUGUGAUUGAGAAAGAGAGAGGAGAGAGUGAGAGGGGUGAUUUGAGUGAGUGUGAUUAAUAAUUUAUUAAUAUUUGUGAGUGAAUGUGUGUACACAUGUAUGUGCACAUGGUUGUGCUAACAAGGUUUUUUUUUCUGUAUGCAUUGUUGGGUUGUUGGGUUCAAAACUGUAUAAUUAGAGUGAGUGCAAGGAGUAGGCUUGGUCUGCUUCCAUUUGGUUGUGUAUUAUGCAUUAGAUAUCUUGCUCUUCUGCGAAUCAAAUCAUUGAGUGCAGCCCUUUCAACAUUUUACUUAUGUAGUGUAAUACUGUAAAAGUUGUAAUCUAAUUCCCUUUCUAAUACUGAAGUUUGUUCAGAAUAUUUAUUUUUAAGUCUAGGAGAAAAGGAAAUGGCUUUGUUCCUUAAAAAGCCUUUGAGAGAUGCCGAUAGCAUAUCAUAAUUUGACACUGGGUCAAAUAAUGAUACAAGCUAAUUUCCUCCAUUUCCACUUCCUCUCUCUCUCUUAUUAAACAACAAUAGGAGUCAGAUUUUUGUCUUACAUUUGAUGAUGAGACUUGGAACCAGAUUCUGUCCCGUGUUCAUAACUCCUCUAUUUGUGCACGUCACAGUCGUAUCCAGUUAAAAUGUAUUCAUCGAAUUUACUGGACAAAAGUGAGGUUGGCAAAAAUCAAUCCUGGUAUUGAUCCUCUCUGUGACCGUUGCCAUCAGGCCCUGGCAGACUUAAUGCAUAUGUUUUGGACAUGUUCAUAAUUAAAUUCUUUUUGGCUAUCAA